Molecule: transfer RNA, 87 nt
Filed under: Aeromicrobium panaciterrae
Lineage: Bacteria; Bacillati; Actinomycetota; Actinomycetes; Propionibacteriales; Nocardioidaceae
Description: tRNA-Ser
Source: RNAcentral
GGAUGACGAUGCACCGGUGGCGGUGCGCCCGGUUGCUAACCGGGAGGCACCUCACGGUGUGUGGUUCGACUCCACCGUCUUCCGCCA